UGAGUACGAGCGGCUACGGCCGCGAAGUGGAUGAUGUCAAGCUUCCAAGAAAAGCCCUAUACCCGUUAAGGCAUGAUGGCCUGUACCCCAAAACCGACACAGGUGGGGUGGUAGAGAAUACCGAGGGGCGCGAGGUAACUCUCUCUAAGGAACUCGGCAAAAUGGCCCCGUAACUUCGGGAGAAGGGGUGCCACCGCGAGGUGGUCGCAGUGAAGAGGCCCAGGCGACUGUUUACCAAAAACACAGGUCUCCGCUAAGUCGCAAGACGAUGUAUGGGGGCUGACGCCUGCCCAGUGCCGGAAGGUUAAGGAAGCUGGUCAGCGCAAGCGAAGCUGGCGACUGAAGCCCCGGUGAACGGCGGCCGUAACUAUAACGGUCCUAAGGUAGCGAAAUUCCUUGUCGGGUAAGUUCCGACCCGCACGAAAGGCGUAACGAUCUGGGCGCUGUCUCGGAGAGAGGCUCGGCGAAAUAGAAUUGUCUGUGAAGAUGCGGACUACGUGCACCCGGACAGAAAGACCCUAUGAAGCUUUACUGUAGCUUAGUAUUGUGCUCGGGCUCGGAAUGCGCAGGAUAGGUGGGAGGCUUUGAUCCAUUGCUUGCGGGUGAUGGUGAGCCACUGGUGAGAUACCACUCUCUCCGAGCUAGAGUUCUAACAGCAACCCGUUAUCCGGGUGCUGGACAGUAUCAGGUGGGCGGUUUGACUGGGGCGGUCGCCUCCUAAAUGGUAACGGAGGCGCGCAAGGUCUGCUCAGGCUGGUUGGAAAUCAGCCGACGAGUGUAAAAGCAGAAGCAGGCUUGACUGUGAGACCUACAAGUCGAACAGGGAGGAAACUCGGCUUUAGUGAUCCGACGGUUCUGCGUGGAAGGGCCGUCGCUCAACGGAUAAAAGUUACUCUAGGAUAACAGGCUGAUCUCCCCCAAGAGUUCACAUCGACGGGGAGGUUUGGCACCUCGAUGUCGGCUCAUCGCAACCUGGGGCUGAAGUCGGUCCCAAGGGUUGGGCUGUUCGCCCAUUAAAGCGGUACGCGAGCUGGGUUCAGAACGUCGUGAGACAGUUCGGUCCAUAUCCGGUGCACGCGCAGGAAUAUUGAGAGGAUUUCUCCCUAGUACGAGAGGACCGGGAGGAACGCACCUCUGGUGUGCCAGUUAUCGUGCCAACGGUAAACGCUGGGUAGCCAUGUGCGGAGUGGAUAACCGCUGAAAGCAUCUAAGUGGGAAGCCCACCUCAAGAUGAGUAUUCCCAUGGCAUAAGCCAGUAAGGUCACGGGAAGAACACCCGUUGAUAGGCUCUACGUGGAAGCGCAGUAAUGUGUGAAGCGGAGGAGUACUAAUAGACCGAGGGCUUGACCU
This 1350-nucleotide ribosomal RNA is filed under the name metagenome. RNAcentral's name for it is "bacterial LSU rRNA". It matches the Rfam family "Bacterial large subunit ribosomal RNA", at positions 1564 to 2925 of the family's 2925-position model. The record is from RNAcentral.